This 82-nucleotide transfer RNA is filed under the name Clostridiales bacterium. Its description in RNAcentral is "tRNA-Tyr". It matches the Rfam family "tRNA". From Rfam's summary of the family: Transfer RNA (tRNA) molecules are approximately 80 nucleotides in length. Their secondary structure includes four short double-helical elements and three loops (D, anti-codon, and T loops). Further hydrogen bonds mediate the characteristic L-shaped molecular structure. tRNAs have two regions of fundamental functional importance: the anti-codon, which is responsible for specific mRNA codon recognition, and the 3' end, to which the tRNAs corresponding amino acid is attached (by aminoacyl-tRNA synthetases). tRNAs cope with the degeneracy of the genetic code in two manners: having more than one tRNA (with a specific anti-codon) for a particular amino acid; and 'wobble' base-pairing, i.e. permitting non-standard base-pairing at the 3rd anti-codon position. The record is from RNAcentral. Lineage: Bacteria; Bacillati; Bacillota; Clostridia; Eubacteriales.
GGAUGGGUUCCCGAGAGGUCAAAGGGGGCAGACUGUAAAUCUGUUAGCAACGCUUUCGAAGGUUCGAAUCCUUCCCCAUCCA